CCCUUAAAACUAGCAGUUCUGUUGGAUAUGUAAGAUCCUGAACUAUGAAUAAAAGUAGAUGAAAGGUUGAAAUGUUUGAAGUAGGAGGGGCACACCGGCUUAAUGCUUAACACGAUUGCCUUGUGCCUCUGGGGUUGGGGGGUUCGAAUCCCGCCUCUUCCCCGUGUGCACGGAGUUUGCAUGUUCUCACUGUGCUUUGAGGGUUUCCUCUUUGAGGGUACUCUGGUUUCCUCCCCCCCAGUCCAAAGAUAUGCACUGUAGGCAUGUCCGUAGUGUGUGAACGUGUAUGCGAUCGUACCCUGCGAUGGGUUGGCACCCUGUCCAGAGUGUCCUCUUCCUUGUGUCCCGAGUUCACUGGGAUUGCCUUCAGGAUUCCCCACCUGACCUUGUGCAGGAUAAAGAGGUACUUCAAAAAUCAUGCAUAGAUAGCAGCCAUAAGAACAGGACAAAACUGUGACAAAUGGCUUUGAAAAGCAGUUCUGACACAGUUGGGAAAGCCCUAAAACCUCCAAGCUAUAAAGGCCUAUGUGAGUUCCAGAUUAUUGUUUUCCUGAAUUCUUGUGUGC
This is a long non-coding RNA of Ictalurus punctatus (channel catfish), 566 nucleotides long. The record is from Ensembl. Lineage: Eukaryota; Metazoa; Chordata; Actinopteri; Siluriformes; Ictaluridae.